UACAAGGCAUGGAUUGUGGUGGCUUUGU
This 28-nucleotide non-coding RNA is filed under the name Rattus norvegicus (Norway rat). Lineage: Eukaryota; Metazoa; Chordata; Mammalia; Rodentia; Muridae. The record is from RNAcentral.